UCAUAUGGUAAAUUGGAGCUGGGACCUAAGU
RNAcentral lists this non-coding RNA (31 nucleotides) under Mus musculus (house mouse). The record is from RNAcentral. Lineage: Eukaryota; Metazoa; Chordata; Mammalia; Rodentia; Muridae.